Molecule: ribosomal RNA, 450 nt
Filed under: uncultured bacterium
Lineage: Bacteria
Description: partial 16S ribosomal RNA
Rfam family: Bacterial small subunit ribosomal RNA
Source: RNAcentral
GUGGGGAAUAUUGGACAAUGGGCGAAAGCCUGAUCCAGCCAUGCCGCGUGUGUGAAGAAGGCCUUCGGGUUGUAAAGCACUUUAAGCGAGGAGGAAGGUUCGUCACCUAAUACGUGACGGAAUUGACGUUACUCGCAGAAUAAGCACCGGCUAACUCUGUGCCAGCAGCCGCGGUAAUACAGAGGGUGCAAGCGUUAAUCGGAAUUACUGGGCGUAAAGCGCGCGUAGGCGGUUGUGUAAGUUGGAUGUGAAAUCGCAGGGCUUAACCUGGGAACUGCAUACAAAACUGCACGGCUGGAGUAUUGGAGAGGAAGGUAGAAUUCCAGGUGUAGCGGUGAAAUGCGUAGAAAUCUGGAGGAAUACCGAUGGCGAAGGCAGCCUUCUGGCCAAAUACUGACGCUGAGGUGCGAAAGCAUGGGGAACAAACAGGAUUAGAUACCCCAGUAGUCC